RNAcentral lists this transfer RNA (90 nucleotides) under Herbiconiux flava. RNAcentral's name for it is "tRNA-Ser". It matches the Rfam family "tRNA". Rfam says of the family: Transfer RNA (tRNA) molecules are approximately 80 nucleotides in length. Their secondary structure includes four short double-helical elements and three loops (D, anti-codon, and T loops). Lineage: Bacteria; Bacillati; Actinomycetota; Actinomycetes; Micrococcales; Microbacteriaceae. RNAcentral also lists the same sequence under 2 other names. The record is from RNAcentral.
GGAGGGCUGUCCGAGCGGCCGAUGGAGCCAGUCUUGAAAACUGGUGGGGUGUCAAAGCCCUCAAGAGUUCGAAUCUCUUGCCCUCCGCCA